This 253-nucleotide ribosomal RNA is filed under the name uncultured bacterium. RNAcentral's name for it is "partial 16S ribosomal RNA". It matches the Rfam family "Bacterial small subunit ribosomal RNA", at positions 524 to 776 of the family's 1533-position model. The record is from RNAcentral.
UACAGAGGUCUCAAGCGUUGUUCGGAUUCAUUGGGCGUAAAGGGUGCGUAGGCGGCGCGGUAAGUCGGGUGUGAAAUUUCGAGGCUUAACUUCGAAACUGCAUUCGAUACUGCCGUGCUAGAGGACUGGAGAGGAGACUGGAAUUUACGGUGUAGCGGUGAAAUGUGUAGAUAUCGUAAGGAAGACCAGUGGCGAAGGCGGGUCUCUGGACAGUUCCUGACGCUGAGGCACGAAGGCCAGGGGAGCAAACGGG